Molecule: transfer RNA, 88 nt
Filed under: Gemmatimonadota bacterium
Lineage: Bacteria; Pseudomonadati; Gemmatimonadota
Also listed under: 1 other name
Description: tRNA-Ser
Rfam family: tRNA
About the family: Transfer RNA (tRNA) molecules are approximately 80 nucleotides in length. Their secondary structure includes four short double-helical elements and three loops (D, anti-codon, and T loops).
Source: RNAcentral
GGACGGGUGGCCGAGUGGUUUAAGGCGCACGCCUGGAAAGUGUGUGUGCGUUCAUAGCGUACCGUGGGUUCGAAUCCCACCCCGUCCG